Molecule: ribosomal RNA, 1491 nt
Filed under: Bacillus sp. (in: firmicutes)
Lineage: Bacteria; Bacillati; Bacillota; Bacilli; Caryophanales; Bacillaceae
Description: bacterial SSU rRNA
Rfam family: Bacterial small subunit ribosomal RNA
Source: RNAcentral
GAGGGGAUAUUUUUUUUUUUUUGAAUGCGGCAGCAUAUCAUGCAAGUCGAGCGGACAGAUGGGAGCUUGCUCCCUGAUGUUAGCGGCGGACGGGUGAGUAACACGUGGGUAACCUGCCUGUAAGACUGGGAUAACUCCGGGAAACCGGGGCUAAUACCGGAUGGUUGUUUGAACCGCAUGGUUCAGACAUAAAAGGUGGCUUCGGCUACCACUUACAGAUGGACCCGCGGCGCAUUAGCUAGUUGGUGAGGUAACGGCUCACCAAGGCGACGAUGCGUAGCCGACCUGAGAGGGUGAUCGGCCACACUGGGGACUGAGACACGGCCCCAGACUCCUACGGGAGGCAGCAGUAGGGAAUCUUCCGGCAAUGGACGAAAGUCUGACGGAGCAACGCCGCGUGAGUGAUGAAGGUUUUCGGAUCGUAAAGCUCUGUUGUUAGGGAAGAACAAGUGCCGUUCAAAUAGGGCGGCACCUUGACGGUACCUAACCAGAAAGCCACGGCUAACUACGUGCCAGCAGCCGCGGUAAUACGUAGGUGGCAAGCGUUGUCCGGAAUUAUUGGGCGUAAAGGGCUCGCAGGCGGUUUCUUAAGUCUGAUGUGAAAGCCCCCGGCUCAACCGGGGAGGGUCAUUGGAAACUGGGGAACUUGAGUGCAGAAGAGGAGAGUGGAAUUCCACGUGUAGCGGUGAAAUGCGUAGAGAUGUGGAGGAACACCAGUGGCGAAGGCGACUCUCUGGUCUGUAACUGACGCUGAGGAGCGAAAGCGUGGGGAGCGAACAGGAUUAGAUACCCUGGUAGUCCACGCCGUAAACGAUGAGUGCUAAGUGUUAGGGGGUUUCCGCCCCUUAGUGCUGCAGCUAACGCAUUAAGCACUCCGCCUGGGGAGUACGGUCGCAAGACUGAAACUCAAAGGAAUUGACGGGGGCCCGCACAAGCGGUGGAGCAUGUGGUUUAAUUCGAAGCAACGCGAAGAACCUUACCAGGUCUUGACAUCCUCUGACAAUCCUAGAGAUAGGACGUCCCCUUCGGGGGCAGAGUGACAGGUGGUGCAUGGUUGUCGUCAGCUCGUGUCGUGAGAUGUUGGGUUAAGUCCCGCAACGAGCGCAACCCUUGAUCUUAGUUGCCAGCAUUCAGUUGGGCACUCUAAGGUGACUGCCGGUGACAAACCGGAGGAAGGUGGGGAUGACGUCAAAUCAUCAUGCCCCUUAUGACCUGGGCUACACACGUGCUACAAUGGACAGAACAAAGGGCAGCGAAACCGCGAGGUUAAGCCAAUCCCACAAAUCUGUUCUCAGUUCGGAUCGCAGUCUGCAACUCGACUGCGUGAAGCUGGAAUCGCUAGUAAUCGCGGAUCAGCAUGCCGCGGUGAAUACGUUCCCGGGCCUUGUACACACCGCCCGUCACACCACGAGAGUUUGUAACACCCGAAGUCGGUGAGGUAACCUUUAGGAGCCAGCCGCCGAGAGUGACAAUCAAAAAAAAAAAAAAACA